Long non-coding RNA from Mercenaria mercenaria, 2130 nucleotides. RefSeq lists it as uncharacterized. The transcript is spliced from 3 exons. NCBI's taxonomy places the organism in Eukaryota, Metazoa, Mollusca, Bivalvia, Venerida, Veneridae. The record is from RefSeq and is a predicted model, not a curated record.
AUAAUACUCUACCUUGCCACAAGAAAAAAAUGAAGUGACAUUUAUAAACAUUUCCGUGUUUUGCAAUUCCGUUUCUUUAGAAAUUUUAAAUGAUUGAUAAUUUAUCGCCCUUUGAAUCGACACGCCAUUUGUAAACAUCGAAGGUCACGGAGAAAAUGAAACUACCAAAAACAAUUAUUUGAUGAUUUAUUUCGAUUGUAUAAAGAAUGACAGUUAGCGAAUCUCAAGAUCAACCACUGUGGAUUGUUUGGCUUGAUGCAAUGACCUUAAACAGUGAAAUGAUUUUCCAGGAAGGUCUAUACACAACAAGCUGGAUUUUAUGGGGUGAUGAAAGAACUAUGAAUAUAUAAAUGGGAAUGAAACAGAAGGAAUUAAUAUGUUCUACUGAUCAUCCAGCUGAAAUCAUGCCUGUGGAAUAGAGUGCAUGUCACAAAUAGUGAUAUGAGCAAAUAACUCCAUAUUGCACAAAUAAUGUCAUGUUUCCUUCCCUCAUGACCUGAAAAAGUUAAAAAUUCUAGUUCAAAUUACAGAUGUGUUUCAAGAAAAAGCUGUGAAGUUGUUUGAGAAGCACUAUCCUAAUUGUUCUAACAAUACAGAAUUUAACUUAUAAAUUUUCCAAAACUGCAUGCAUGAAAUACUAAGACAUGUCUGUUGAAUGAAUCCUAGUUGUUUCAAAACUACAACAUGUGUGACAUUAAAGCACAACCUUUGGAGGAAACAUUUUUACAAUAAAAACUGCCUUACCAGUGUGAGUGUAGGAAGGAUUUUUCUAGAAAUGGCAGAAAACUACCAAUAUAGCAGAAAAUAUUUGUUACUGGCUGAAUAUAAUAUAUUUUAUUUCAAGAAUUAAUCAUGUUAAUCCAUGGUUAUAAUUGUGUUAAAAGAUAUUUUUAAAUGACAUGACCUUUGCAGAAAUAGCUAUUUUUUUGCAAAACAUUGUGAGUUGCCAUGGUAACACAAAUUUGACUUAAAUUUAGAUUUGUUUGAUUAUGUAAACAGCAUGUGUCUUGUUUAUAUUCUGCUAAUCAGACUGGAAGAAAAUAUCUUUUAUGUGUAACCAUCAACAAAACAUAUCAUAACACAUAUCUGCCAUAAAAUGGCAGAGCUGUAAUGCAGGUAGGCAUAUCAGGAAAAUAUGUAGUUCUGAAAGACAAGUUAUAUUACAUAAAAUGAUGUUUUUUUGUUUUUUUUUUAUAAAUGAUCAUAAUUGACCAUUCGUGGUGUAAAACAAAUGUAUACUGAACAGAUGCUAAAUGAAUGUUCUGAUUCUUUCUGGAAAAUUUACAAAAAACUACUAUUUUAAGAAAAUAGUACAUUGUUGCCAUGGUAACAUUGAUUUAACUUUAAUAUUAAAUUAUUUUGGAUAUCAUCAUAUGUAAACAACAUCUUUCUUGUUUAUAUGUUAUAUAUCUUAAGCUGUAUUAUGUUAGUGAAUAUAUUUUCAUAUGUAAUAAUUGCAUCAACAAAGCACUAUGUUAUUACACAAGCCUGCCUUAAAAUGGCAAUAGUUGUAACUGAGAGAGGUGUAUCUGAAAAUUAUGUAUUUCUCAAACCAUAUUACAUUAAUUUUCACAGAAUGAUGUCUACUCUCUUACUUUUAAAUAAGAAAACAGACAGCUUUUGAUGUAAAUAUAUGGAAAAACACUUCCAAUAUUCAAUUAAUUACAAAGAAAUUGCCAAAAAUGUUAGUAUUUUUGUAAGAAAAUACCACAUCGUUGCCAUGGUAAUGAUUCACUGAUCAGUAUAUCUAAGUCUUUUGAAAUUUUAGCAAACUCACAGUUAAUAAUAACAGUCUAAUAAUUUUCUUUCUUACUGUUUAAUAGAUAAGGUGUCUAUAAUAAUAAGAUUAUUGUCCUAGUUUUUGGGAUGUUGUCUAAUUUGAUAUCAAAUAAAUUCUGUAUCUUGUUCAAAAGAAUGUCAUAAAACAGUUGUCUGCAAACUGUUAGCACACUAGAAAAAGUUAAUUGUGUAUUUAUUUCACAUUCUAUGUAAUUUAUUGCUAGAUUCAUCAAGAGACUGUUAAAAAAGAGGUUAAACAACAGUGUUGCUAUAGAAACGAUUUUUAGAACAUAAAUAUUUUUAUGCUACAUGAAAGAAAGAGACAAAAAGAAAUACAUUCCAUUAAUUGCA